UGGGGAAUAUUGGACAAUGGGCGCAAGCCUGAUCCAGCCAUGCCGCGUGGGUGAAGAAGGCCUUCGGGUUGUAAAGCCCUUUUGUUGGGAAAGAAAAGCGAUCGGUUAAUACCCGGUUGUUCUGACGGUACCCAAAGAAUAAGCACCGGCUAACUUCGUGCCAGCAGCCGCGGUAAUACGAAGGGUGCAAGCGUUACUCGGAAUUACUGGGCGUAAAGCGUGCGUAGGUGGUGGUUUAAGUCUGCUGUGAAAGCCCUGGGCUCAACCUGGGAAUUGCAGUGGAUACUGGGUCACUAGAGUGUGGUAGAGGGUAGUGGAAUUCCCGGUGUAGCAGUGAAAUGCGUAGAGAUCGGGAGGAACACCAGUGGCGAAGGCGACUACCUGGACCAACACUGACACUGAGGCACGAAAGCGUGGGGAGCAAACAGGAUUAGAUACCCCCGUAGUCC
This 449-nucleotide ribosomal RNA is filed under the name uncultured prokaryote. RNAcentral's name for it is "bacterial SSU rRNA". It matches the Rfam family "Bacterial small subunit ribosomal RNA", at positions 355 to 796 of the family's 1533-position model. The record is from RNAcentral.